Long non-coding RNA from Triticum aestivum (bread wheat), 1856 nucleotides. RefSeq lists it as uncharacterized. The record is from RefSeq and is a predicted model, not a curated record. The transcript is spliced from 2 exons. NCBI's taxonomy places the organism in Eukaryota, Viridiplantae, Streptophyta, Magnoliopsida, Poales, Poaceae.
UAACCCCGAGAAGCCUCCCAACGACAAUGGAUAUUCCGUUCAUUAGUUUGGUGGUCGUUGUUGAUUAAGUACUCCAUAUAUUUAAUAUUUUUAGAGAAUAAUUACCAUUCUUAUCUGAUGAUAGGAGGGAUAAGAAGAAAGAUAAAUAACAAACACAUCUAAGUAUUCCUAUAGUCUCGCGUCCAAGUAAACCAGGUGGCGCUGGCGCAUCCCCUCUCAGAUCCACCACCGCCAUGACUGCCGCCGCAUGCCUAGUCCAAUCUGCUACGAGGCAGUACGAAGCAAUGGCCAGAGUAUUGCCAGGGCGCAGGAAGCAAGAAGGGCGUGUUCCCCAUCUGCGGCUCGACCCGCCUCUUCUUCGAGUCCACCAGCAAGUGCCCCACGCAGGCCUCCCCCUCCCCUCCUUGUCGUAGGACAUCGACCCAGAUGCGCUCGCUGCCGGGGUCGUCCCAGUGGAGCGGAAGGCUUCAUCCCUUGGUCGGGUGCUCGACGAGCAGCGCAAUGGGAUCCAGAGGCUCAACGCCGAGGUCGUUAGAUGGGAGGGGAAUGGGAGGGGAAGGCGGCGGUGGAUACGAUGCGGGAGUGCAGCUAUUCCUCAAUACGAAAACAGAGGUUGAAUUCAGGUUGUAGUGAUAUUGGGGACGAGCAUUGCCGAGAAGUGCAAAGCCAGCCGUGUAGGAGUAGCAGGUAAUUAUCUAACUGAAUUCUUCACUUGACGAUUUUUGUUUGAGGUUUUUCAAUUUGAAAGUGAAGAUGCAAACAUGGACGCGGGUUUGUGGAGGUGAUGGCGCCAGUCUUGUGAAGGGAUACGGAGAUGUGUGUGCCACUGAUUUAGGUACUCUUUUCAGCAGAAAAUUGACAUUUUUUUACUUGCCUGAUCUAAAAGUGAGGACAAUGAGUUUGACUGCCGAUUAUUUUUAACUUGUACGUACAUGAUUGCCAUUAUAAAUGCUCAGUACAUGGUCCAUUGUGGAGUUCCCAUGCUCCAGGGCGAGGUAAUUGUAAGUUUUUUUUGUCAGCUCAAACUUCUGAAAAAUUGAUGCCCCUUGCUUGCUCUGUUUUUUGUAUGCUCACCAGUUAAAUCUCCUCUUCUCCUUGAGGGUGAAAAAGAAAAGCCAACAUGCUGUUUUGAAAAGCCAACAGUAGAGGAAAAUAAUAUUCAGUGUAGAUUUGUUGGGUAUACGUGUUAAAAAAUUAGCUGGGUGUACAACAACAACCAAAAAAGUUCAAUUUGUUUUGCUGAGAAAUAAAAUAACUCAAGUUUUGCUCGAAUUAGACAAGAAACAUUCCAAUUAAUCUUUUCUUAAAAGAGUUUGUCUUUGUCGGAUAAGGACUAUAGAAGAGUUCAAGUGCGAACUUGUUCCUUUCUGCUAUUAUCCUCUGUGCUGGUUCUUUUACAUGUACUGACUUAUAAAUCAUUUAUGUUUUUGUAGAACGGAUGGUCCACCAUAAAAGAAAAAUCACGAGGCAUUGUAGUCAUGGGUGAAGGAUCAUAAGGACAUGUGAUGGUGUCUCAUGAGUGAAGAGAAAAUAUUUACUGGUUGUGAUACAUUGGACUGACUUUCAUGAACUAACAUUUUUGUAGGGCUGAUGGUCCACCAUACUAUUAUAGAAGCACCAGGAGUGAUGAAAAUGAUAUUCAUUCAAACAACAAUUGUGUACCUCGAUUGAAGAUUAAUAGAUAUGAUAUUUUUUAGUUGUCUUGUUUUGUAUAUAGGCAUGAUGAAGUACGUUGGUCAUAUAAGGAGUGCGUUCGCCUCAAAUUUCUUGAAGGAUAUUUUAAUUUUAGAAUUGUAUGUCAGAAUAUUGACAUUUCUAUUAAUAAAAGAGGCUAUGAUCCUUUUCAUAUUACAUUA